Helianthus annuus (common sunflower) is the source of this 473-nucleotide long non-coding RNA. RefSeq lists it as uncharacterized. The transcript has 2 exons. The record is from RefSeq and is a predicted model, not a curated record. Lineage: Eukaryota; Viridiplantae; Streptophyta; Magnoliopsida; Asterales; Asteraceae.
UUUACUGUUGUCUCUUGCUUGGUUCAGUCUCUAUAAGUACACAAACCCUCAACUACACUCAACUGACUACUGCUUUUACAUCUACAGCUGUAAAGCAAGAUUUUACUGUUGUGUGAAAGAGAGCAUGCUUGCUUCAGUCUCUACAAAUACUUCAUCAAGCUCAACACUCUACAAUCACUCAACUCAGACGAAUUAAACUUUCAAAUUAAUAUAUUGACUCUUUGCAUCUGGAUCUUGCGUUGUUUCUCGGCUCUCACAUCAAGGUUUCACAUUUUUUGUCGGCUUUUUACAUCUGCCUCUUGCAUUAUUGUAAGUUCUUCCAAAUUUCUUGGUUUUUUGAUCUGUAUUGUUUAACUGCCUCUUUGUUUUUUUGGGCUGUUGAUUAUGAAAUUCAUUAGUAUUACAAUAUGAGAUGUAAAAAUUCUUUAAUUCAGGAAUAAGUUAUUAUAAUAUGUACCAUUUGGUCACAAAAA